This 497-nucleotide ribosomal RNA is filed under the name uncultured bacterium. RNAcentral's name for it is "partial 16S ribosomal RNA". It matches the Rfam family "Bacterial small subunit ribosomal RNA", at positions 28 to 507 of the family's 1533-position model. The record is from RNAcentral.
GAUGAACGCUGGCGGCGUGCCUAAUACAUGCAAGUCGAGCGAACAGACGAGGAGCUUGCUCCUCUGACGUUAGCGGCGGACGGGUGAGUAACACGUGGAUAACUUACCUAUAAGACUGGGAUAACUUCGGGAAACCGGAGCUAAUACCGGAUAACAUGUUGAACCGCAUGGUUCAACAGUGAAAGACGGUUUUGCUGUCACUUAUAGAUGGAUCCGCGUCGCAUUAGCUAGUUGGUAAGGUAACGGCUUACCAAGGCAACGAUGCGUAGCCGACCUGAGAGGGUGAUCGGCCACACUGGAACUGAGACACGGUCCAGACUCCUACGGGAGGCAGCAGUAGGGAAUCUUCCGCAAAGGGCGAAAGCCUGACGGAGCAACGCCGCGUGAGUGAAGAAGGUCUUCGGAUCGUAAAACUCUGUUAUUAGGGAAGAACAAAUGUGUAAGUAACUAUGCACGUCUUGACGGUACCUAAUCAGAAAGCCACGGCUAACUACGUG